CCUUUGUACACACCGCCCGUCGCUACUACCGAUUGAAUGGCUCAGUGAGGCUUCCGGACUGGCCCAGAGAGGUCGGCAACGACCACUCAGGGCCGGAAAGCUAUCCAAACUCGGUCAUUUAGAGGAAGUAAAAGUCGUAACAAGGUCUCCGUUGGUGAACCAGCGGAGGGAUCAUUA
This 177-nucleotide ribosomal RNA is filed under the name Chaetomium globosum. RNAcentral describes it as "partial small subunit rRNA". It matches the Rfam family "Eukaryotic small subunit ribosomal RNA", at positions 1657 to 1831 of the family's 1831-position model. Lineage: Eukaryota; Fungi; Ascomycota; Sordariomycetes; Sordariales; Chaetomiaceae. The record is from RNAcentral.